This is an RNA transcript of Bicyclus anynana (squinting bush brown), 7881 nucleotides long. It is a transcript of the gene named insulin-like growth factor 2 mRNA-binding protein 1, with no coding region annotated. The transcript is spliced from 9 exons. NCBI's taxonomy places the organism in Eukaryota, Metazoa, Arthropoda, Insecta, Lepidoptera, Nymphalidae. The record is from RefSeq and is a predicted model, not a curated record.
GGAGGGCCGGGGCCGGAGCGGUUUGGUCUCAGUCGCGUCACAUCAGUCAGUCGAGUAACAACCUCGCCAGUCGCCAGCUUGCGAACCGUACGCACGGCGCACACGUGUCCUCGCGCCCGACCCUUAUUCCUCUUCCACGCCGCCGCGCCGCACUCCGCGCGAACGUCGCGAUCGCUUCGGCUCUCUGGUGCCGAACCGACCGGUGCGCCUCGCUCGCUUUCUACCUAUUAUGUAAUACGAAAAUAAACACCGCGCCUUUAACAGCGAGCACGUGUGCGCACCGGCUGCUGUACUCCGCCGUCCACAUUCGAUAGCCGACUCAUCGACCUUUCUUUGCCAUCAUAAUAUCCAUCAAGCCGUUUUCUCGCGGCUGCAACAGAAAGUUUUACCUCAUUCUCGUGACUCCCGUCGAUCAAUAAUCUGUUCGGUUUCAUAAUUAACUUUAUCGGAGGUGUUGUGUUUGUGGGAUUGUUUAAAAAUUGAAGUGUAAAAUGUCUAAUUCCAUGGAGCAACAGUUUGGGGAGCUCAGUCUGUCACAGGAGGACCACGAUCAAAUUUUUGAACAGGAGGACCAUCAAGAUCAAAGCCGAUCAAGGAUUCUCAUCAGUGGGCUCCCCCCGCAUGCUCGCUUCGACACCAUCGAGCCCCUGCUCUCACAGUACGGCAACGUGCAACAUUGCGACAAAGCGAACUCGCGCGAUGCCUCCACCCAAGCGGUGUACAUCACAUUCGAGUCCCCGGAGCAGGCGCAGCAAGCCAUCAAUGGACUGAAUGGUUGCGAGUUGGAAGGCGGCCGUAUGAAGGUAGAGGCAGCUGAUGGGAUGGCACGCGGUGGGCGGCGCGGUCGGCCCGGCGGCGGCCGAGGCGGUGGCGGAGCCCCCGGCAGCGGCGCGCGUCCCACGGACUUCCCGCUGCGUCUGCUGGUGCAGAGCGACAUGGUCGGCGCCAUCAUCGGCCGCCAGGGCAGCACCAUCCGCCUCAUCACGCAGCAGAGCCGCGCGCGCGUCGACGUGCACCGCAAGGACAACGUCGGCUCGCUGGAGAAGGCCAUCACUAUAUACGGCAACCCGGAUAACUGCACCAAUGCCUGCAAAAGAAUAUUGGAAGUGAUGCAACAGGAAGCCAACAAUACUAACAAAGGGGAAAUCUGCCUCAAGAUCCUGGCCCAUAACAACUUGAUUGGCAGAAUCAUUGGCAAGGGCGGCAAUACCAUUAAAAGAAUUAUGCAAGAGACAGACACGAAGAUUACUGUUUCAUCCAUAAAUGAUAUCAAUAGCUUCAACUUGGAGCGUAUCAUCACUGUGAAGGGAACCAUUGAAAACAUGGCCAAAGCAGAGUCACAAAUAUCGGCCAAGCUGCGCCAGAGCUAUGAAAACGAUUUGCAGGUGCUGGCUCCCCAGAGCAUCAUGUUCCCCGGCCUGCACCCCAUGGCCAUGAUGUCGACUGGGCGCGGAUUCUGCGGUGCACCGCCGCCAUUCCCACCACCUAUCUAUGCGCCGCUGGCCGGCCAAGGUGGCGCUCAGCAGGGCGCUGGUGAUUCCCAGGAAACCACUUACCUAUACAUCCCAAAUAACGCGGUCGGGGCUAUCAUUGGCACCAAGGGAUCACACAUCCGCAACAUAAUUCGAUUCAGCAAUGCUUCAGUGAAGAUAGCUCCACUUGAGCAGGACAAGGUCGAGGGUGGCUCGGGCGUGGGCGUGGGCAUGGGCGCGGGCGCCGGUGCCGCCGCCGCCGCCGCCAACGCAGCGGCCCAACAGGAACGCAAGGUUACCAUUGUUGGUAGUCCUGAAGCUCAGUGGAAGGCGCAGUACUUGAUCUACGAGAAGAUGCGAGAGGAAGGGUUCAUGUCUGGGUCGGACGACGUGCGACUGACGGUGGAGAUCGUGGUGGCCUCGACGCAGGUCGGCCGCAUCAUCGGCAAGGGCGGGCAGAACGUCCGCGAGCUGCAGCGCGUGACCGGCUCUCUGAUCAAGCUGCCCGAGCAGCCGCAGCCGCAGCCGGCCACCUCCUCGCACGACCACGAGACCACUGUCCACAUUGUCGGACCGUUCUAUAGCGUUCAGCAGUCGCCCGAAGCGGGAUGAACGUAGUGGGCACGCCAGCAGUCGCUCUGGAGUUGGCUCACUGAAAUGACAUUUGUGUCAACCGUCAUGGCAGCACGUAUUAUCGUUUCCUUCAUGACGAACCGGUCGGCACAGAGGCGCAUCCGCGCCAUGGUGGCGCAGGCCAGCGCGCCGGUGCGCCACCGCCGGGCCGCCCAACAGGCGCCGCCGCCCGCGCAGCAGUAGACGGCGCGCGCCGCUCCACCCGCCGCCACCGCUCCGCCGUCUACCACCGCCGAGUUAGGCUACCCGCUCCAGUCCUACCCCGCUACCCCGGCCUACCCUCGCAGCCUACCCUCGCAGUCUACCCUCGCCCAGCUCUGCCGUAUCCGUAACUAUUAAUGCAAGCAGUAGUACGACUCGCUUGUCUACUUCUCUCUAUGUGUCUUCUCAUUUUCGUUGCACACAUGCUUUAUGUAGAUGAGCUGACUCCAGCGGACGAAGCUAUGGCUUACAUAAAUAUGAACGCGACGUUAUCUAAGCUAUACCUUUGUCCCCGUCUUUAUGCUGGACUGUCAGUUGUUUGUGUCAGUGUAAUGUAGCGUCAUACUCGUGCAAGUCGAACUGCAGCUUACAUUAAUGAGCGUCUGCAGUGCCCUGUGCGUGUGCAGCAUCUAGCGCUUCUAUUUGUUAGCACUCUAAGUUCAAUGUUGUUGUUGACGUAUUAUAUUAACAUAGUAAAUAUUGAAUUGUGAAUUUUAUUACUGGAUUUAAUGUUAAUGAGUAAUUGGAUCUAUAUAAUGAAUCUUAUAUAUAUAUUAUUAUACUAUAUUCAUAUACACAUUAUUUUUUAACGAUAAUACCAGUUAUAUGAAUUGAUAUGAAUUAGCCGGAAUAUAUUUAAUUGUUAUUUUGUUUUCAUACCAUGUUAUUAUAAAUCAGAGUUUUCACAAAUCGCAAUAGUUGACAUUAUGUUCUCUUAUACAUAUACACAUGUUAGUAGCAAUAGGUUAGAAUACAGCAACAAUUAUUAUACAAUCGAGAUGAAUCACAUAUUUUGUUUUGUUAUAAAGUAAUAGAUUAAUCUGUUAAUGCAUUUCAAUGAAUUUUGAUAUUAUUCUGAAGGGUGUGUGGGUUAGGAUCUCGGACUACGAAGGGAGAAACACGACAUCGCUUUAGUCACGAGGCUCGAGAAUAUCGGAUGCUUUGCAACUAGCAUACAUGAGUUUGACAGCACCUGCACACUGGCCGACCGGUCAACUGGUCGCCUGGCCAACUGGUCAACUGGUCGCCUGGCCGACUGGUCAACUGGUCGCCGGUGGACCGACAGUUCAGUCUGCGGGUAGCGUCUAGCUGUCUCACGGCGAUGCACUCUGAUUGAUGAAUUAGAUAUUUUUGCUGAAGUAGUCAUUGUUGGACGGUAUGGACUUAAAAGGUACGAGUUUAAUUUGUAAGUGUCAUUUGUUGAUCGUUUUCUUUGUAGAAUUGUCUUUGUUAGCUUUAUAACUGUUUCCUGUAUCGAUGCGAGUGUGAGCGAACAGUUCCACGCUACGAUGCGGUGUUAUGCGAGUGUACGAUUUGCGUUAAUUGUGCCAAGUGAGAUAUUUAAGAGAGAAUAAGAUUAAGUGAAUAAUAUCAAAAUUGUGAAGCUUAAAAAAUUAUAUUAUAUUUAUGAAGGUGAUAAUAUAUGGAAGUUUGGCAAGAAUGUUUCACUAUCUUUUUUCGUUGUUCUAUAUGCGAGAAUCUAAAACAAAUGUGUGCCAGUAGGUAUGAAAUGUAGUAACUUUGCCCCGGGUACAAUUAGUUUUGCCGAAAAUGUUGUCUGUAAAUGGAACUAAUAGUAGAUUAUGUAGUGGGUGGGUAUAAUAGUUUUGAAAAUAAUUUUUUUUAUACUUAAAUAAUAUAUAGCAAAUUACGUGUAAAUAGAAACUGACCUACAUUUGACAAAAACAAUCAAAAUCAAGUGAUUUUCUUAUAAUAUAAGAUGUUUAUUCAAACCAUAAAUUGUUUUGCGACCAGACACAGAAAAGUAUAUACUCCACUGACGGACAUGAUCAACGAAUUUACUGAUUUUACCGUCUCAUAGCCUCAAAAAAUUUAAUUCAAUGUUAUAUUAACAUUUUUUAUUUGUAAAUAAAAACUUUUAAAAACUGGAUGAAAUCAUUUAUGUUUCAAAAAAUGACAUAUUGAACCAUCUUACUUUAAUACACCAAAUAGCAAUUUAUUUUUACUGAAUUCUUGUUGUUAAGGGUUUUACAAAUCAUUUUUUUUAGAAUGUGGAUACUUUCUAUCUGUCUAUUUACUUCUCUGUCUACGUUUUUGUGGCAUUAUUUAUUUUGAAUGAACUUGAAAACAGAUCUCCACCGUACUCACACUUCCACAUAUUAUUGUAAAUUAUCUCUCUUUUGGCAUUCAAUUUUCACCAAAUGUACCGUCACUGAACGAUUUGUUUGAUUGCCUAUUUUAAUCAGUAUUUUGCUAAUGAACGUAAAACGUCUAACAAAUGCAGAUCCAUUCCAUGCAACUUUUGCUCUACCUUUCUGCAUGUCUAAUCUAGUUGCCAAACGCCAUCUAUAUAUAUAUAAAUUAAACAAUUUCAUAUAAUAUUAUUUGUUUGUUUUAGUGUCUUGUGCGAUUUAUUUUGUUUUAACAUGGGGGGCAUGUAUUAUAGAUCGAGCACUUGUCAAAAUUAUUAUACCUUUUUUUUUUUUUUUUUGAACAUGUGUGUUUGGUGUGUAUAAAAAAUAUUUGAUAUAUUAUUAUAGCUAGAGUGAGUUGGUGGCAAAAAUAAGAGAAAGAGGUAAAUGGGAACAGACAAAUAUCUUUCUAAUUACAUGUAAAGUUUUCUAUGAGAUAUUUGAUUUAGUUCUUCAUAGUAAUAUUAAUGUUUUGGGUGCCAUUUUCCACUAUAUUAAUAUUAAAAUAAAAUGUAUUAUUAUAUAAUACAAUUAUAACAAGAACACCUAAGAUAAUCACCACCACUCUUAUAAAAUUUAAUGGCAUUGAUAUACCGUCUGCAGGUUUAUUUUGAAAAUUGCCACCAGCUUACAUAGCUGAUAUCUGAAAGGUAUAAGUAAAUUUUCCAUUUGAUGGUUUUAAUUUUUAUUUUUUCGUUUAAUGAUUUUAUUAUUAUCUUUAUUAUUGGCCAUGAUUUCCUGCGCACGAGUCUUUGCAGUAUUACUUAUACGAACUGCAACUGUUUGCAAAUGGUCCGGUAUAGUAUUUUUUUUUAUAAGUAUAAUGAAAAAAAAAAUAUAAUAUCAUUAUACCUUUGCUUUUCGGAACAGGCUAAUUAUUAUAUCAUUAAGUAUUAUUUAGCCCUAGUUCGUUACUUUAGUAAACAGAUGGCCUGUCGUGUGUAUUCGAUAUAAAUAACAUUAAAAUAAGUACGUUAAUAGUGUAAACAUGUGAAAUUUUAAUAGUUUUUGCCAAUUGUCUCUUAGCCGUUUAAUUAGCAUACAGUUCUGAAGUGUCAGCGGCUAUUAAUGUUUUUUUUUUUUUAUGUCGGUCUUAAUAAAUAAUAGUAUCCCAUACCCUCGAGCACUUACGAAGCCGUUCUAAUAUUUUAUAUUGAGUUUUAAUGAAAAACGUUAUUUAAAUUUCAUGUUUUUAAUGUCCUAAUUAUUUUUAAAUAGAAAAAUUCUUCAGAGAACAAUUAUUACUGAAAUAGUUUCCACAGCUAAUUUAUUUUAGUGACACCAUUUAUUUGGUUUCAAAUGCAGGAACAAAUAUGUUAUUUCCAUACAUAUCUAUUAUAUAGGUACAAAUGCAAAUUGGCCUAAGUAAGAAUAUAACUGAAUUUCCACUAUAUUGUAUUGCGUUAGCGGAAUAUGUUUCCGCCAAUACAUAACGAUAUAGAAUAAAUAUCAGUCAUAUACCAUAAUAUUUUUUUAAUUACACAAUAAAAAAAAAUUGGUUUUUCCAGGUUUCAAUUUGUAUAUAAAUGUUGAUGAGUAUUCCUGUAAUGACACUUACGUGGCUUUUUGGAUGAAAGUUAAUGCGAUAAUUAACUAUCAAAUUACUAACAUUUAAUGAUCAUUUUCAUAAUAACAUUAGAAAUAAUAUUAACACCACUUACUAUUCUAUUUACAUUCAAUUAUUCUUUUUCCUAUUGUUUUCAUGUACUCUUCUCAUGUACAUGAUUACAUGGUCCUAUAACCAGUAAUUUCUUUAUCUAAAACUUUUUAAAUAUGAAUAAGGUACAAUUAUUGACAGGCUAUUUUCUAUUUGUCCUAUAUUAACUUAGGGUCUUAUUUGUUCAGUAUUUUUCAAUGGGUUCUAACGUUUUCAAAAUCAAAGUAAACAGCAUAUAAAAUUUAUAACGGUUAUUGUAGUGCUUCACGGGUAUGGAAUAAAUACAUAAUUGCAAAAAAAAUCGCUUAUUUUUGGUUGUGUGAAACCAAUCUCUGCUUACUAAGACUCUUAUUAACAGCCAGGAUUUUCGUUGAUAACUGGCCAACGGUCGCAUUUAAAUAAAGAUUAAUUAUUAUUAGUUUACUACUUUUGGAUAUACAUGUGCUAAUUUAGGCGUGUAACAAUUCAGUUUAAAAAUAAAAUAAAAAUAAAAAUAGCGAUAUACUUAAGGAGAAAGUGCGAGCGUGUCGGCCGCUUGACCGCGAAAGGAGUAGGAGUGUACAUAUAGCAUGUCGUUUAUUCCUUCCAUUGUAAGCAAGAGUAUCGCAAUGUGAACAGCAUUACGAUUUCCAUGAUGUGUUAGGAAUCAGAAAUGAAUAGAUUUAGUUGAUUAUUGUAUCGUUGUGAAGUAGUGUUAAGUUGGGGGCAAGCGCGGGCGCACGCGGCCCGAGACUGAACUACAUCGCUGCGUCGCCCGCUCUUGGUCAUCUACGGCUUGACAAAAAAGUGUAGAAGCUGAACUAACUUUUUUUUUUACCAUGCUACAACACUAUUCCACUUGUCAGUUGUUAGUGUCUAUGCUGUCAAAAGUGAUUAUUAUGUCGCUAAAAGGGCUAGAACCCAAAGCCGUAAAGAUCAUUAUUAAAAAAAAAUCGGCUUUGAAGGUUAUGUUGUUUUAUGGUUACGGCUACGUAUAUUGUAUCUUGUAUUCGUGUUGCCGUGUUGGCGAUAGUGGCGCCUUUAUUAAUUUCUACUCUUUUUUGCCAGGCUAUACAUAUUGUCAUUUCUCGCUGGUAAUAAAUUUAUUGUCAUUCUUGUUUCCAUGGUUCUAUACUGUUAUAUAUACGAUCACGUUUUAAUGAUAUUGGUAAAUGUGUGUAAUCUACGUUUGUGAUUGUCGGAUUUAAUUUGAAUUUAUGCGCAUGAAUGUAUUUUGAAAUCAUUGAUGUAUUUGGUCAGGUUUUAAAAGUAAAAAUAGUAUUGAAUUGAAAAUUGAAUUACCGAAAAUGUAUGAUGUAAUAAACACUAAGCACAGUCGAGUCUGUCGCACUGUAUAUAGCACUGUGACAAGUAAGAGAUUCCAGAGGACACUAUAGUAUUGAGAAGCUGUUAUUGUUGCUUCUCAUCUUGACAGAAGUCCAAUGUACAAGUUUAAAGUUAGUUAUUUUUUUUUUUCAUGUUUCUUCACACUCGAUUCAGUGUACAUUUUAAGAUGUUUUAAAAGUCUAUUGGGCUUUAUGGCAUGUUUUACCUAAAUUUUGUUGUAAAUGUUAUAUAAGAACCAUUUUAUAAUUGGUAUAAGUUCAGAAACUAAUAACUACCUCAAUAUUACUAAAUGAAUAUGAUAAUUAUCUUUGUGCAUGUUUUGGACACUGAAUUUAAAAUAUUACAAAAAAAAUCAAUAUUGUAUAAGAAUGCUAUUAUAUAAACAAUAAUGGAAAUUGUCAAAUUUAGGUUUCUUAAAUGUAAUAAAAAUUGAUCAAUA